This 115-nucleotide ribosomal RNA is filed under the name Pteropus alecto (black flying fox). The record is from RNAcentral. Lineage: Eukaryota; Metazoa; Chordata; Mammalia; Chiroptera; Pteropodidae. RNAcentral also lists the same sequence under 1 other name.
GUCUACGGCCAUGCAACCCUGAACAAGCCCGAUGUCUGUCUCGGAAGCUAAGCAAGGUUGGGCCUGGUUAGUACUUGGAUGGGAGACCACCUAGGAAGACCAGAUGCUAUAGGCA